This 46-nucleotide non-coding RNA is filed under the name Schistosoma margrebowiei. Lineage: Eukaryota; Metazoa; Platyhelminthes; Trematoda; Strigeidida; Schistosomatidae. The record is from RNAcentral.
AACCUGCUGAGGAGUCCCAUACUAGGACGAAACGGCCGUCCAAUGU